RNAcentral lists this ribosomal RNA (578 nucleotides) under Aspergillus fumigatus. RNAcentral describes it as "eukaryotic LSU rRNA". The stretch from base 206 to 359 matches the Rfam family "5.8S ribosomal RNA". The record is from RNAcentral. Lineage: Eukaryota; Fungi; Ascomycota; Eurotiomycetes; Eurotiales; Aspergillaceae.
GACUGCGGAAGGAUCAUUACCGAGUGAGGGCCCUCUGGGUCCAACCUCCCCACCCGUGUCUAUCGUACCUUGUUGCUUCGGCGGGCCCGCCGUUUCGACGGCCGCCGGGGAGGCCUUGCGCCCCCGGGCCCGCGCCCGCCGAAGACCCCAACAUGAACGCUGUUCUGAAAGUAUGCAGUCUGAGUUGAUUAUCGUAAUCAGUUAAAACUUUCAACAACGGAUCUCUUGGUUCCGGCAUCGAUGAAGAACGCAGCGAAAUGCGAUAAGUAAUGUGAAUUGCAGAAUUCAGUGAAUCAUCGAGUCUUUGAACGCACAUUGCGCCCCCUGGUAUUCCGGGGGGCAUGCCUGUCCGAGCGUCAUUGCUGCCCUCAAGCACGGCUUGUGUGUUGGGCCCCCGUCCCCCUCUCCCGGGGGACGGGCCCGAAAGGCAGCGGCGGCACCGCGUCCGGUCCUCGAGCGUAUGGGGCUUUGUCACCUGCUCUGUAGGCCCGGCCGGCGCCAGCCGACACCCAACUUUAUUUUUCUAAGGUUGACCUCGGAUCAGGUAGGGAUACCCGCUGAACUUAAGCAUAUCAUAA